ACUCAAAUGAAUUGACGGGGACUUGCACAAGCGGUGGUCCAUGUGGUUUAAUUCGAUGGUAAACGAAGAACCUUACCAGGGUUAGAAAUCUAGACGAAGUCUUGCAGAAACGUAAGACGCCUCACAAGGGCGUCUAGACAGGUGUUGCAUGGCCGUCGUCAGUUCGUGGUUUGAAUUGUUCCCUUAAGUGGGGUAACGAACGCAACCCUCGUUGCCUGUUAUAAGUGUCAGGCGAGACAGCCCCCGAUUUUGGGCGUGAGUUUAAAAACUCGCGAGCAAAAUCGGGGGAGGAAGGCGAGGAUGACGCCAGGUCAGCAUGACCCUCCGAUAUCCUGGGCUACACACGUGGAACAAUGGCUACUACAACGCGUUGCGACGGAGUAAUCCUAAGCUAAUCGUUAGAAAAGUAGCCUCAGUUUGGAUUGAGGUCUGCAACUUGACCUCAUGAAAUUGGAAUCGCUAGUAAUCGCGGGUCAGCACACCGCGGUGAAUACGUUCUCAAGUCUUGUACACACCGCCCGU
Molecule: ribosomal RNA, 522 nt
Filed under: uncultured bacterium
Lineage: Bacteria
Description: partial 16S ribosomal RNA
Rfam family: Bacterial small subunit ribosomal RNA
Source: RNAcentral